RNAcentral lists this ribosomal RNA (455 nucleotides) under uncultured Sphingobacteriales bacterium. RNAcentral describes it as "bacterial SSU rRNA". It matches the Rfam family "Bacterial small subunit ribosomal RNA", at positions 923 to 1382 of the family's 1533-position model. The record is from RNAcentral. Lineage: Bacteria; Pseudomonadati; Bacteroidota; Sphingobacteriia; Sphingobacteriales.
ACACAAGCGGUGGAUCAUGUGUUUAAUUCGAUGAUACGCGAAGAACCUUACCAGGUCUUGACAUCCCUUGCAAAGCUAUGGAGACAUAGUGGAGGUUAUCAAGGAGACAGGUGGUGCAUGGUUGUCGUCAGCUCGUGUCGUGAGAUGUUGGGUUAAGUCCCAUAACGAGCGCAACCCUUAUCGUUAGUUGCCAGCUGGUAAAGCAGGGGACUCUAGCGAAACUGCCACCGUAAGGUGAGAGGAAGGUGGGGAUGACGUCAAAUCAGCACGGCCCUUAUGUCCAGGGCUACACACGUGUUACAAUGGCCGGCACAGAGGGCAGCUACCUGGUGACAGGAUGCUAAUCUCGAAAACCGGUCUCAGUUCGGAUCGAAGUCUGCAACUCGACUUCGUGAAGCUGGAUUCGCUAGUAAUCGCGCAUCAGCCAUGGCGCGGUGAAUACGUUCCCGGGCCUU